Molecule: ribosomal RNA, 993 nt
Filed under: Candidatus Phytoplasma fraxini
Lineage: Bacteria; Bacillati; Mycoplasmatota; Mollicutes; Acholeplasmatales; Acholeplasmataceae
Description: bacterial SSU rRNA
Rfam family: Bacterial small subunit ribosomal RNA
Source: RNAcentral
GAGAGGUCGAACAGCCACAUUGGGACUGAGACACGGCCCAAACUCCUACGGGAGGCAGCAGUAGGGAAUUUUCGGCAAUGGAGGAAACUCUGACCGAGCAACGCCGCGUGAACGAUGAAGUAUUUCGGUAUGUAAAGUUCUUUUAUUGAAGAAGAAAAAAUAGUGGAAAAACUAUCUUGACGUUAUUCAAUGAAUAAGCCCCGGCUAACUAUGUGCCAGCAGCCGCGGUAAGACAUAGGGGGCGAGCGUUAUCCGGAAUUAUUGGGCGUAAAGGGUGCGUAGGCGGUUAGGAAAGUCUAUAAUUUAAUUUCAGUGCUUAACGCUGUCUUGUUAUAGAAACUACCUUGACUAGAGUUAGAUAGAGGCAAGCGGAAUUCCAUGUGUAGCGGUAAAAUGUGUAAAUAUAUGGAGGAACACCAGAAGCGUAGGCGGCUUGCUGGGUCUUGACUGACGCUGAGGCACGAAAGCGUGGGUAGCAAACAGGAUUAGAUACCCUGGUAGUCCACGCCGUAAACGAUGAGUACUAAGUGUCGGGAUAAAACUCGGUACUGAAGUUAACACAUUAAGUACUCCGCCUGAGUAGUACGUACGCAAGUAUGAAACUUAAAGGAAUUGACGGGACUCCGCACAAGCGGUGGAUCAUGUUGUUUAAUUCGAAGAUACACGAAAAAUCUUACCAGGUCUUGACAUGCUCUGCAAAGCUAUAGAAAUAUAGUGGAGGUUAUCAGGGACACAGGUGGUGCAUGGUUGUCGUCAGUUCGUGUCGUGAGAUGUUAGGUUAAGUCCUAAAACGAGCGCAACCCUUGUCGUUAGUUACCAGCACGUAAUGGUGGGCACUUUAACGAGACUGCCAAUUAAACAUUGGAGGAAGGUGAGGAUUACGUCAAAUCAUCAUGCCCCUUAUGAUCUGGGCUACAAACGUGAUACAAUGGCUGUUACAAAGAGUAGCUGAAGCGCGAGUUUUUAGCCAAUCUCAAAAAAGCAGUCUCAGUU